UGAUUCUUCUAAAAUGGACCUAUUAGAAGGCUUUGAUGAGUUUAUUUCAUUGUAACGAACCAUAUAGGUGAGUUCUUAUAUCAUAACAUUUUGUUUAUGGAGAUCGAUCCAUAUAAAAAACCAUAGAAGGGGAGGGUCUAUUACUUGUCGUAGCUUUGUUGCUCUGAGAAAAUCAGAAAUUAAAAAAAAAUGAUCAUUAAAUUAAAU
This 207-nucleotide unclassified non-coding RNA is filed under the name Hevea brasiliensis (rubber tree). The record is from RNAcentral. Lineage: Eukaryota; Viridiplantae; Streptophyta; Magnoliopsida; Malpighiales; Euphorbiaceae.